This is a long non-coding RNA of Pocillopora damicornis (cauliflower coral), 923 nucleotides long. Lineage: Eukaryota; Metazoa; Cnidaria; Anthozoa; Scleractinia; Pocilloporidae. The record is from RefSeq and is a predicted model, not a curated record.
UUGCAAUUGUGUGUGACUAAAAUGCAAGGCAUUCUUGAUUUGAGCCACUCAAUGAAGUUCUUCAGGGCCACAUCAAUUGUAACGGCAUCAGUGAUUGGCUUCCCAUCAUAAAACAGCAUUCCUCUUUGGAAGGUACACCAAGAAUUUUGAUAGCUGAUAUGAAUGAUGCGAUCAAAGACAAGGCCACCCGUAUAGACCCUAAAAGCUGGAAUGAUGGAACGGCGGAACAGCAGAAUGGCCGAAAAGGACCCCAAAUCAUAAAACGAGGAACGGCGGAAGAUGAUCCCAAAUCCUAAUUUAGAAUAUGCAGUCAUCAACUAAAGGAACUCAAGAUAUCUACAGCGCGGAACACGAGAACGAAAACCAGCGCCACAGAUAGAAAGAGAAUCACAUAGGAGGCAAUGAUAAGCCAGUACUGUGUACCAUAAAUAUAAAUUUAUGCAGGUACACCAAGAAUUGUGAUAGCUGACAGGAACGAUGCGAUCAAAGACGACGUAACAGGUAUCGCCAUCAACCCGCGGUUCGCGAAGAGAAAUUCCUUCGUUGUUCGCAGCUUUCCUUCGGUUAAGGCAUGGUAUAUCCCAAUAGCGGUCGACAGGAAUAACAUAAUUCCAAACACGGCAAAAUCAACUCUGCCAAACUGCACUAUUUCCACCGUAAUGAAAGUCUAGACAAACAUCUGUCCUACAAUCUACGGUCCGCUUAAUCUAUACCUGAACACAUGUAACAACGUUGUGUACGAAACGCUGAAGAGUCUCUUAGUUGAACCCGAGCAUGAGACUGACUGCUGUUAACUAGUUCACAGCUAUUGUAUGCAUUUCCUUGAUAAUUUCCAUGCCUUUCCACUCUGGUUUUUCCUUGCAGAGUCCUCUAUGCAUCUGUGGAAACUAUGAACUAUAAACUUGUUUAAACACUGUCAAACG